UACGUAGGCGGCAAGCGUUAUCCGGAAUUAUUGGGCGUAAAGAGCGCGCAGGUGGUUGAUUAAGUCUGAUGUGAAAGCCCACGGAUUAACCGUGGAGGGUCAUUGGAAACUGGUCGACUUGAGUGCAGAAGAGGGAAGUGGAAUUCCAUGUGUAGCGGUGAAAUGCGUAGAGAUAUGGAGGAACACCAGUGGCGAAGGCGGCUUCCUGGUCUGUAACUGACACUGAGGCGCGAAAGCGUGGGGAGCAAACAGGAUUAGAUA
This 261-nucleotide ribosomal RNA is filed under the name uncultured prokaryote. RNAcentral's name for it is "partial 16S ribosomal RNA". It matches the Rfam family "Bacterial small subunit ribosomal RNA", at positions 524 to 784 of the family's 1533-position model. The record is from RNAcentral.